UACGUAGGUGGCAAGCGUUGUCCGGAAUUAUUGGGCGUAAAGCGCGCGCAGGCGGCCUCUUAAGUCUGAUGUGAAAGCCCCCGGCUCAACCGGGGAGGGCCAUUGGAAACUGGGAGGCUUGAGUAUAGGAGAGAAGAAUGGAAUUCCACGUGUAGCGGUGAAAUGCGUAGAGAUGUGGAGGAACACCAGUGGCGAAGGCGACUCUUUGGCCUAUAACUGACGCUGAGGCGCGAAAGCGUGGGGAGCAAACAGG
RNAcentral lists this ribosomal RNA (253 nucleotides) under uncultured bacterium. RNAcentral's name for it is "partial 16S ribosomal RNA". It matches the Rfam family "Bacterial small subunit ribosomal RNA", at positions 524 to 776 of the family's 1533-position model. The record is from RNAcentral.